RNAcentral lists this ribosomal RNA (410 nucleotides) under uncultured microorganism. Its description in RNAcentral is "bacterial SSU rRNA". It matches the Rfam family "Bacterial small subunit ribosomal RNA", at positions 509 to 917 of the family's 1533-position model. The record is from RNAcentral.
CAGCCGCCGCGGUAAUACGUAGGUGGCAAGCGUUGUCCGGAAUUAUUGGGCGUAAAGCGCGCGCAGGCGGUCUCUUAAGUCUGAUGUGAAAGCCCCCGGCUCAACCGGGGAGGGUCAUUGGAAACUGGGAGACUUGAGUGCAGAAGAGAAGAGUGGAAUUCCACGUGUAGCGGUGAAAUGCGUAGAGAUGUGGAGGAACACCAGUGGCGAAGGCGACUCUUUGGUCUGUAACUGACGCUGAGGCGCGAAAGCGUGGGGAGCAAACAGGAUUAGAUACCCUGGUAGUCCACGCCGUAAACGAUGAGUGCUAAGUGUUAGAGGGUUUCCGCCCUUUAGUGCUGCAGCUAACGCAUUAAGCACUCCGCCUGGGGAGUACGGCCGCAAGGCUGAAACUUAAAGGAGUUGGCGGG